This 498-nucleotide ribosomal RNA is filed under the name uncultured bacterium. RNAcentral describes it as "partial 16S ribosomal RNA". It matches the Rfam family "Bacterial small subunit ribosomal RNA", at positions 899 to 1397 of the family's 1533-position model. The record is from RNAcentral.
ACUCAAAGGAAUUGACGGGGGCCCGCACAAGCGGUGGAGCAUGUGGUUCAAUUCGAUGAUACGCGAAUAACCUUACCAGGGCUUGACAUUUAGAUGAUCGACACAGAGAUGUGUCUUCCCUCCGGGGCAUCUAAACAGGUGCUGCAUGGCUGUCGUCAGCUCGUGUUGUGAGAUGUUGGGUUAAGUCCCGCAACGAGCGCAACCCUUACUACUAGUUGCCAUCAGGUUAUGCUGGGCACUCUAGCGGAACUGCCGGUGACAAACCGGAGGAAGGUGGGGAUGACGUCAAGUCCUCAUGGCCCUUAUGUCCUGGGCUACACACGUGCUACAAUGGGCUGUACAAAGGGUAGCAAGACCGUAAGGUGGAGCCAAUCCCAAAAAGCAGUCCUUAGUUCGGAUUGGAGUCUGCAACUCGACUCCAUGAAGCUGGAAUCGCUAGUAAUCGCAGAUCAGAAUGCUGUGGUGAAUACGUUCCCGGGCCUUGCACACACCGCCCGU